Molecule: ribosomal RNA, 111 nt
Filed under: Charybdis japonica (shore swimming crab)
Lineage: Eukaryota; Metazoa; Arthropoda; Malacostraca; Decapoda; Portunidae
Description: partial small subunit ribosomal RNA
Source: RNAcentral
UUAAAGUUUGAUUAUAUCUUUAUUUCUUGUGAUUUGUAUUGAAUUUGUAUGAAGGUUAAAGCGAGUAGCUAGCGGUAGUUAAAGGCGAGCCGUUAAGGCAAUAGUAGUUAG